Molecule: ribosomal RNA, 887 nt
Filed under: uncultured archaeon
Lineage: Archaea
Description: bacterial SSU rRNA
Rfam family: Archaeal small subunit ribosomal RNA
Source: RNAcentral
CCUGACUGCUAUCGGAUUGAUACUAAGCCAUGCGAGUCAUUGUAGCAAUACAAGGCAGACGGCUCAGUAACGCGUAGUCAAUCUACCCUAUGGACGGGAAUAACCUCGGGAAACUGAGAAUAAUGCCCGAUAGAACAUUAUGCCUGGAAUGGUUUAUGUUUCAAAUGAUUUAUCGCCAUAGGAUGGGACUGCGGCCUAUCAGUUUGUUGGUGAGGUAAUGGCCCACCAAGACUAUUACAGGUACGGGCUCUGAGAGGAGUAGCCCGGAGAUGGGUACUGAGACACGGACCCAGGCCCUAUGGGGCGCAGCAGGCGAGAAAACUUUGCAAUGUGCGAAAGCACGACAAGGUUAAUCCGAGUGGUUUCUGCUAAAGAAACCUUUUGUCAGUCCUAGAAACACUAACGAAUAAGGGGUGGGCAAGUUCUGGUGUCAGCCGCCGCGGUAAAACCAGCACCUCAAGUGGUCAGGAUGAUUAUUGGGCCUAAAGCAUCCGUAGCUCGUUUUGUAAGUUUUCGGUUAAAUCCAUGCGCUUAACGUAUGGGCUGCCGGGAAUACUGCAUAACUAGGAAGUGGGAGAGGUAGACGGUACUCGGGAGGAAGGGGUAAAAUCCUUUGAUCUCUUGAUGACCACCUGUGGCGAAGGCGGUCUACCAGAACACGUUCGACGGUGAGGGAUGAAAGCUGGGGGAGCAAACCGGAUUAGAUACCCGGGUAGUCCCAGCUGUAAACUAUGCAAACUCAGUGAUGCAUUGGCUUAUGGGCCAAUGCAGUGCUGCAGGAAGCCGUUAAGUUUGCCGCCUGGGAAGUACGUACGCAAGUAUGAAACUUAAAGGAAUUGGCGGGGAGCACACAAGGGUGAAGCCUGCGGUUCAAUUGGAUUCAACGC